Long non-coding RNA from Xyrauchen texanus (razorback sucker), 579 nucleotides. RefSeq lists it as uncharacterized. The transcript has 3 exons. Lineage: Eukaryota; Metazoa; Chordata; Actinopteri; Cypriniformes; Catostomidae. The record is from RefSeq and is a predicted model, not a curated record.
GUUGGAGAGUUAUCCCUGCCAGGGGAUCUGUUACUCCCCCCUAGACACCCAGGAAGAUUUGGUGUUGCUUGACAACAGUUUGAGGCAGGAUAAAGAGCUCCAGCAACGAUUUCUUCGGUUUUUGGCAAUCAAAUGUGGGAGGGACCUAAAGACAACCGUGUGGCGAAUGCUUCAGAGUAUCUUCUCUAAUCACCUUUCCAUCAAUACAACCUGGACUGGUGUAGGGGAUAAAGCAUGUUUUAGAGACAUGUUCCUGAAGACCAUUGUUCAAAGAGCCAUCCGGAAGAACCCGGCAACCCAGGAUGCCACUGAUGAGGCGAUCCAGGUUAACGUUACGCGUUACCUGAAAGGAGCAUCUGAACGUGAAGGUGGAAAAAUGCGCCGCACAGCUGAGAGGGACCCACAGCCGACCCCUUAAACCUAGGCUGACUACUGACACCCCAGCAUCACUGACAACUGGAACCCUUUAUUUAUCCUGCAGUCAGUAACAUCAAGACCCCUAAAAAAGCCUGCUAAAAGUGUCAGACUACACUCACCCAAUCCACACUGUUCACUGUGGAAAUUGCUUUUUUUUUUUUU